Molecule: RNase P RNA, 266 nt
Filed under: Methanosarcina sp.
Lineage: Archaea; Methanobacteriati; Methanobacteriota; Methanomicrobia; Methanosarcinales; Methanosarcinaceae
Description: partial RNase P RNA component
Rfam family: Archaeal RNase P
About the family: Ribonuclease P (RNase P) is a ubiquitous endoribonuclease, found in archaea, bacteria and eukarya as well as chloroplasts and mitochondria.
Source: RNAcentral
GCCCGGGCCCUGGCACAGAAACGAGACCCAUUCCCUGAAAGUGCGAUGAUGCAAAAAGCUGAGGUCUCAGGGAGAGUGGAUGAAACGGCGAAUCCUCGUGGGUGCAAGAUGGAAAUCGGGAAGAAAGAGCAUUCCGGAAUCUCCCGGUUGUUUUUGGAAACGCGUAGCCGAAUGCCGUCACUGCAAGAGUCCUCAAGGACCAUUUCCUCCACUGAUGGGUGCAGGAGAUCUUUGCAGGAACAGAAGGGAGCUUACUUGCCUCACUC